GAUAACGGUUCCUGCCGUCCCUUCGGGGGCGGGUGAGGCCCCAUGUGGAUCACGUGGUUGAUAGGCCGGGUGUGGAAGCCCUGUGAGGGGUGGAGCUGACCGGUACUAAUGGCCGAAGACGACCCUUU
This 128-nucleotide non-coding RNA is filed under the name Bifidobacterium cuniculi. Its description in RNAcentral is "Bacterial large subunit ribosomal RNA". It matches the Rfam family "Bacterial large subunit ribosomal RNA", at positions 2803 to 2925 of the family's 2925-position model. Lineage: Bacteria; Bacillati; Actinomycetota; Actinomycetes; Bifidobacteriales; Bifidobacteriaceae. The record is from Rfam by way of RNAcentral.